Molecule: ribosomal RNA, 960 nt
Filed under: uncultured organism
Description: bacterial SSU rRNA
Rfam family: Bacterial small subunit ribosomal RNA
Source: RNAcentral
GGCGAGUAACGCGAUCGAACGUACCCCGAGGUGGGGGAUAGCGUCGGGAAACUGGCGGUAAUACCCCAUGUGCUCUUUGGAGGAAAGCUCCGGCGCCUUGGGAGCGGCGAUCGUCCUAUCAGGUUGUUGGUGAGGUAACGGCUCACCAAGCCUUAGACGGGUAGCGGGUGUGAGAGCAGGCCCGCCGCAUCGGAACUGAGACACUGUCCGGACUCCUACGGGAGGCUGCAGUAACGAAUCUUCCGCAAUGCACGCAAGUGUGACGGAGCAAUGCCGCGUGUGGGAUGAAGCGGUUACGCCGUGUAAACCACUGUCAGGGUCUAGGAAGAACUGACCAGACCCAGAGGAAGGGCCGGCUAAUCUCGUGCCAGCAGCCGCGGUAAUACGAGAGGCCCGAGCGUUAGGCGGAAUCACUGGGCUUAAAGGGUGCGUAGGCGGAUUGGUAAGCAUCUCGUGAAAUGCCUCGGCUCAACCGAGGAAUUGCGGGGUGAACUGCUUGUCUUGAGGAAGGCAGAGGUUGUCGGAACGCUCGGUGGAGCGGUGAAAUGCGUAGAUAUCGAACGGAACGCCGAAGGGGUAGCCAGGCAACUGGGCCUUUCCUGACGCUGAGGCACGAAAGCGUGGGGAUCAAACAGGAUUAGAUACCCUGGUAGUCCACGCCGUAAACGAUGUGCACUAGCUCGAUGCGGAUCUGACUCCGUGUCGGGCGCCGAGAAAUCAUUAAGUGCACCGCCUGGGGAGUACGGUCGCAAGGCUAAAACUCAAAGGAAUUGACGGGGGCUCACACAAGCGGUGGAGCAUGUUGCUUAAUUCGAAGCAACGCGAAGAACCUUACCAGGGUUUGACAUGCACGGAUUAGUCAUUGGAAACAGUGAUGACGCUCUUCGAGUGGAACGUGCACAGGUGCUGCAUGGCUGUCGUCAGCUCGUGCUGUGAAGUGUCGGGUUAAGUCCCUUAACG